Molecule: long non-coding RNA, 565 nt
Organism: Ictalurus punctatus (channel catfish)
Lineage: Eukaryota; Metazoa; Chordata; Actinopteri; Siluriformes; Ictaluridae
Exons: 3
Source: RefSeq, a predicted model, not a curated record
GUUCAUUAAUAAGACCUUUUCGUAAACAAACGCUGAAUAAGCUCUUCUCUGAUCCACAGUUCGGUCUGAGAGCAGUCACUGUUGGGGUCAGUGCCUUGAUGAACUGCUUGACGACUUGACCUUCACUCAUCUUGACCACCGCUAUUCAGACUCCUCUCCAACCACCCUGGUCAGACAGACUUCCACGCACAGAGACAUUCACCAGCAAACAUCGAUGACAUUCACUCUUCUCUGAGAGGCAGGUCUGUUACCGCCGGUACAGGUGGCGUCCCACUGCGGAGAGCCAGGCCGUUCCUCAACUGUUUCUAUUCAGGAAACGAGGUUUACUGCCUAAACAUCACGGUGGCCGAAUCUCAGAUGAAGCUUCUGACACAUCGGAUGCAUGAAGGGUUACAAGAAGAGCGUAGUGAGUCUGAGGUCAUCUGAACCAUAACAAACCAAAAAAUUAUAUGUAUUUAAGUAUAUGCUCGAUGGCCUGAAUGGUAAACGCUGAAGUCGAAGGUGUCCGGAUAGACCCUAAAGCCAUAGAAGUGGCGCUGAAGCCAAAUAAUUCAAGAACUGUAGA